This 64-nucleotide transfer RNA is filed under the name Coptotermes lacteus (milk termite). RNAcentral's name for it is "tRNA-Glu". It matches the Rfam family "tRNA". From Rfam's summary of the family: Transfer RNA (tRNA) molecules are approximately 80 nucleotides in length. Their secondary structure includes four short double-helical elements and three loops (D, anti-codon, and T loops). Lineage: Eukaryota; Metazoa; Arthropoda; Insecta; Blattodea; Rhinotermitidae. The record is from RNAcentral.
AUUUAUAUAGUUUAAGAAAACAUUACAUUUUCACUGUAAAGAUAAAGUACAACUUUUAUAAAUA